Molecule: long non-coding RNA, 822 nt
Organism: Carassius carassius (crucian carp)
Lineage: Eukaryota; Metazoa; Chordata; Actinopteri; Cypriniformes; Cyprinidae
Exons: 3
Source: RefSeq, a predicted model, not a curated record
CAUGUGGGUUUAAAAUGUAGUCAUGAGUCAGAACCAAAGCUAAUUUGCUUUUCUUGUAACAGUUAGGGAAACUUGUCCUCUGAUCUGGUUUGUGUUUAACUGAAAUACACCAGUGUCUCAAAACUAACAAUGGCUAUAUAUCAUAAAGCUUUUAUAAAAACACCAACAAUCAUCUCUAUUAUUCUGUAUGUCUUAACAAUUAACUUGUCAUUCAAAACUGUCACAUGGGCGACAACUACAGCAGGUAAUGUACUCUGUUGCUGACUGGUGUGUGGUCUGGAUAUGCAUGACUGUGAUUAGAAGUGAAUUUCGAUCGAAGGCCAGAGAAACUCCAAAUACACCCUGCAGAAGAAACCCUAUAAGUUAUACACAUAACUUGUCAGGUUUUAGUGAAGCUGUGUCUGAAGUCAGUUGUAGUUUUCUUUCUCUCUUUUCUUCAGUGAUUCUGUUUGUUAACAGCAGGUGUUCUUCACUAAUACUCAAUUAUCACUCAAUUAAUCACUUAAUUACUUAAUUGCAAUGUAAAGCUUCUUUUUCUGAACUCAGCUGAAUUAAGUUCAGAGUACUCACAACUAUUAGUUUUAAAACUUAAAUGGUUUAAGGCAAUCGGUUGCAUCAAAGGGUUUGAGUAAAUCUAAUUUGUCAGGUUUUAUGUAUCUCUGUUUACUCAGACGGUUUGAGUUAAGUUACUUGUCGGGUUUUACAGUGUAUAUGUGUACACACUACAGAGUUUUAAAAGUAACACUGAAUACGUGUCAAAUUUAAUGAGAUAAUUAAGAGAGUAAUUGAGUGAUGAUUGACCGUUUCUGAAGACACUUGAUG